UUUGGAUAAAUGUAAGAUAAAAUAUUAAAAUUGGCUUAAAAUAAAAAAUCUCGCCUAACCCCACCCAGGGCCGGCCUAGGCCCCUAGGCGCUAGGCCCCCUCUGUCGUCCGCCUCCCGCCUAGCGCCUUUUAGAACAUUGCAAUGAAUUCAUCUUUUUGCUGCAGUGUUCAUCUUUUUGCUGCAGUGUUUUGCUGCAACUAUUUUCAAAGCUAGCAAACAAAGUUUUCUGUCAUUGAUAUCAAAACAGCAGUAGCACAAACAAAAAUUCGGAACAAGCUAUCAAAAUUGGAAAUUUUGUCUUUUAUAUCCUACAUCCAGAUUCAACAAUUUUCGAAGUAAAGACCGAUGAACGCAAAGGAACAAAAGUUAAAACCAGAGGCAAUUUCACGUACAGAAUCAUAUACAUACCUGGACUGGAAUUUCGAACAAAUCUCCAAGGAAAUCACGAAUUGAAGGUUCAAUUGAGAUGAAUCUGUUCACCAUUAGUCCAUUAAUUUGAAAUCAGUGAGGGAAAAGGAUGAGGAGCAGAAGGGGAAAUGGCGCACCUUGGAGAAGAUGCCCUAAUCCCACUUCCAACUUACCAAGUACCUUCUGUUGUGUCGGUUGGAGCUGUAAAUGGUAAUAGGUAUUUGUAAUUGACAAAAAAAA
Molecule: long non-coding RNA, 649 nt
Filed under: Panax ginseng (ginseng)
Lineage: Eukaryota; Viridiplantae; Streptophyta; Magnoliopsida; Apiales; Araliaceae
Description: long non-coding RNA (PGIN_LNC016331)
Source: RNAcentral